AGAGUUUGAUCCUGGCUCAGGAUGAACGCUGGCGGUAUGCCUAACACAUGCAAGUCGAACGGUGUCUUCGGACACAGUGGCGGACGGGUGAGUAACGCGUGAGAAUCAGCCUCUAGGUUGGGGACAACAGUUGGAAACGACUGCUAAUACCCGAUGUGCCGUAAGGUAAAAGAUUUAUUGCCUGGAGAGGAGCUCGCGUCUGAUUAGCUAGUUGGUGGGGUAAAAGCCUACCAAGGCAUCGAUCAGUAGCUGGUCUGAGAGGAUGAGCAGCCACACUGGGACUGAGACACGGCCCAGACUCCUACGGGAGGCAGCAGUGGGGAAUUUUCCGCAAUGGGCGAAAGCCUGACGGAGCAAUACCGCGUGAGGGAGGAAGGCCUUUGGGUUGUAAACCUCUUUUCUCAGGGAAGAAGAUCUGACGGUACCUGAGGAAUAAGCAUCGGCUAACUCCGUGCCAGCAGCCGCGGUAAUACGGAGGAUGCAAGCGUUAUCCGGAAUCAUUGGGCGUAAAGCGUCCGCAGGUGGUUUUUCAAGUCUGCUGUUAAAGACUGGAGCUCAACUCCGGAAAGGCAGUGGAAACUGAGAAACUAGAGUUCGGUAGGGGUAGCGGGAAUUCCCAGUGUAGCGGUGAAAUGCGUAGAUAUUGGGAAGAACAUCGGUGGCGAAGGCGCGCUACUGGACCGAAACUGACACUCAGGGACGAAAGCUAGGGGAGCGAAAGGGAUUAGAUACCCCUGUAGUCCUAGCUGCAAACGAUGGAAACUAGGUGUGGCUUGUAUCGACCCGAGCCGUGCCGUAGCUAACGCGUUAAGUUUCCCGCCUGGGGAGUACGCACGCAAGUGUGAAACUCAAAGGAAUUGACGGGGGCCCGCACAAGCGGUGGAGUAUGUGGUUUAAUUCGAUGCAACGCGAAGAACCUUACCAGGGCUUAAAUGUAAGACGACAGUCCCCGAAAGGGGAUCUUUCUUCGGAACGUCCUACAAGGUGCUGCAUGGUUGUCGUCAGCUCGUGCCGUGAGGUGUCGGGUUAAGUCCCAUAACGAGCGCAACCCCUAUCCUUAGUUGCCAUCAGGUAAUGCUGGGGACUCUAAGGAAACUGCCUACGCAAGUAGCGAGGAAGGUGGGGAUGACGUCAAAUCAGCACGGCCCUUAUGUCCAGGGCUACACACGUGCUACAAUGGCCGGUACAGAGGGCAGCUAUCUGGUGACAGAAUGCUAAUCUCGAAAACCGGUCUCAGUUCGGAUCGAAGUCUGCAACUCGACUUCGUGAAGUCGGAUUCGCUAGUAAUCGCACAUCAGCCAUGGCGCGGUGAGUACGUC
This 1319-nucleotide ribosomal RNA is filed under the name metagenome. RNAcentral's name for it is "bacterial SSU rRNA". It matches the Rfam family "Bacterial small subunit ribosomal RNA", at positions 8 to 1372 of the family's 1533-position model. The record is from RNAcentral.